Molecule: long non-coding RNA, 715 nt
Filed under: Salvia miltiorrhiza (redroot sage)
Lineage: Eukaryota; Viridiplantae; Streptophyta; Magnoliopsida; Lamiales; Lamiaceae
Description: long non-coding RNA (SMIL_LNC005547)
Source: RNAcentral
UCCGGGUAAAAUUGUCUUUUCAGGAUGAUGCAAAAAAAGUUACCCUAAAAUUAGUGGCAGUCUCUUCAUUUGCCCAAAUACUUUUACUUUUACGAUAAGUUUUAUCUUCUUCUUUCCUUCAAUCCUCCCUCUCCAUCUUCUGGUUUAACCUUCGCCGCCUCUCAUAUCUCUCUCUUUUCGAUUUAGUCUACCGCUUUUAUCGUCGCUGCAGAAGGAAAUAGCACCGUAGGUGAAGAUUUCUCCUUCUCGGUGAAAAAACAGAAACUGCAAUGGCGAUUCCCCCUCUUCGGGGAAUAUCAAAACUCAGAAAAAUUGCUCCGGGAAGCGCUCCGGCAAACCCCUUACAUUUUGAUUCGUGUACCCUUACUUAAUAAAGGCGACGUCUUCACCACCAACCUGAGGGAUGAGAUGAGAUGGUUUCAUCACUUGAGAUAUUGCAGUUCCUAUCGCUGGUUGCAAUAAAGUUCUGAUACCAAUAUAUUUAUUUUUGGUGGUAUUGUUGAUUUUUUAUUUUUGUUUUAUUUUAUUAGUUCUUAACAUAGGAUUUAUCAUUUUCAUAUUUAAUGGAUUUAUCAUUUUCAUUUAACAUAGAUUCAUUUUUCGUCGCAUAAAAAGUUAUUUUGAUACUGUAAUAUAAUACCUAACAGUUUCAUUUUAAUCUAACACAGGUUCAUUUUCGACAAAUAAUUGUUGCACAUACUGAUAUGAUUUUGGG